This 273-nucleotide ribosomal RNA is filed under the name uncultured bacterium. RNAcentral's name for it is "partial 16S ribosomal RNA". It matches the Rfam family "Bacterial small subunit ribosomal RNA", at positions 524 to 796 of the family's 1533-position model. The record is from RNAcentral.
GACGGAGGGUGCAAGCGUUGUUCGGAAUCACUGGGCGUAAAGCGCGUGUAGGCGGUUCGAUAAGUCGGACGUGAAAGCCCGGGGCUUAACCCCGGAAGGGCAUCCGAAACUGUCGAGCUUGAGUACGGGAGAGGGAAGCGGAAGUCCUGGUGUAGAGGUGAAAGUCGUAGAUAGCAGGAGGAAAACCGGUGGCGAAGGCGGCUUCCUGGACCGAUACUUACGCGGAGACGCGAACGCGUUGUAAGCAAACAGGAUUAGAUCCCAGGGGAGUCC